RNAcentral lists this unclassified non-coding RNA (329 nucleotides) under soil metagenome. RNAcentral describes it as "partial contains 5.8S ribosomal RNA, internal transcribed spacer 2, and large subunit ribosomal RNA". The stretch from base 1 to 120 matches the Rfam family "5.8S ribosomal RNA", at positions 35 to 154 of the family's 154-position model. The record is from RNAcentral.
GAUGAAGAACGCAGCGAAAUGCGAUAAGUAAUGUGAAUUGCAGAAUUCAGUGAAUCAUCGAAUCUUUGAACGCACAUUGCGCCCUCUGGUAUUCCGGGGGGCAUGCCUGUCCGAGCGUCAUUACAACCCUCAAGCUCAGCUUGGUGUUGGGCCCCGCCGCCCCGGCGGGCCCUAAAGUCAGUGGCGGUGCCGUCCGGCUCCGAGCGUAGUAAUUCUUCUCGCUCUGGAGGUCCGGUCGUGUGCUUGCCAGCAACCCCCAAUUUUUUUCAGGUUGACCUCGGAUCAGGUAGGGAUACCCGCUGAACUUAAGCAUAUCAAUAAGCGGAGGA